RNAcentral lists this transfer RNA (68 nucleotides) under Rhinatrema bivittatum (two-lined caecilian). RNAcentral describes it as "tRNA-Ser". The record is from RNAcentral. Lineage: Eukaryota; Metazoa; Chordata; Amphibia; Gymnophiona; Rhinatrematidae.
GAGAGAAGUUUGCCUAAGUAAGAACUGCUAAUUCCUUAUAAUUAUGGUUAAAAUCCAUAUUUCCCUCG